GACGAACGCUGGCGGCGUGCUUAACACAUGCAAGUCGAGCGGUAAGGCCCUUUCGGGGUACGACGAGCGGCGAACGGGUGAGUAACACGUGGGUGACCUGCCCUCAGCUCUGGGAUAAGCCUGGGAAACCGGGUCUAAUACUGGAUAUGACUCCAUGACGCAUGUUGGUGGGGUGGAAAGCCUUGUGCGGCUGAGGAUGGGCCCGCGGCCUAUCAGCUUGUUGGUGGGGUGANGGCCUACCAAGGCGACGACGGGUAGCCGGCCGUGAGAGGGCGACCGGCCACACUGGGACUGAGACACGGCCCAGACUCCUACGGGAGGCAGCAGUGGGGAAUCUUGCGCAAUGGGCGAAAGCCUGACGCAGCGACGCCGCGUGAGGGAUGACGGCC
RNAcentral lists this ribosomal RNA (389 nucleotides) under uncultured bacterium. RNAcentral describes it as "bacterial SSU rRNA". It matches the Rfam family "Bacterial small subunit ribosomal RNA", at positions 28 to 416 of the family's 1533-position model. The record is from RNAcentral.